This 179-nucleotide non-coding RNA is filed under the name Pseudoruegeria aquimaris. RNAcentral describes it as "Ruegeria cis52 sRNA". It matches the Rfam family "Ruegeria cis52 sRNA". Rfam says of the family: Cis-encoded. Targets oligo/dipeptide ABC transporter. Lineage: Bacteria; Pseudomonadati; Pseudomonadota; Alphaproteobacteria; Rhodobacterales; Roseobacteraceae. The record is from Rfam by way of RNAcentral.
UGCGCAGGGCGUGUUUCAUCACGAUGUUGGGGAAGCUCACGCCCUUCAGCCGCGCGGUGCGGAUGUAUUGGGCCGUCAUCACCUCGGUCAUCGAGGCCCGCGUCAUCCGCGCGAUGUAGCCCACGCCGUAGAGCGCGAUCGUCACCACCGGCAGGAAGAAGUUCUCGAAGGUGGCGUUG